YUNAGAGGGACAAGUGGCGUUCAGCCACACGAGAUUGAGCAAUAACAGGUCUGUGAUGCCCUUAGAUGUUCGGGGCCGCACGCGCGCUNCACUGAAGGAGUCAACGUGUCUGCUUCCUGAUCCGAAAGGACCGGGUAACCCGAUGAACGUCCUUCGUGCUAGGGAUUGGGGCUUGUAAUUCUUCCCCAUGAACGAGGAAUUCCCAGUAAGCGCGAG
This 216-nucleotide ribosomal RNA is filed under the name Lumbricus sp. RNAcentral describes it as "partial 18S ribosomal RNA". It matches the Rfam family "Eukaryotic small subunit ribosomal RNA", at positions 1429 to 1647 of the family's 1831-position model. The record is from RNAcentral. Lineage: Eukaryota; Metazoa; Annelida; Clitellata; Crassiclitellata; Lumbricidae.